CGACUGUUUACCAAAAACAUAGCUUCUAGAAAUAAUUAGAAGUAAAAUCCUGCCCGGUGAAAGCAAUUUUAAACGGCCACAAUCGUGCUAAGGUAGCGUAAUCAGUUGUCCUUUUACUGAGGACUAGUAUGAAAGGAAAAACGAGGCUCAACUGUCUCUAUUAAAAAAAUAAAAAUUAGUUUUUAGAUGAAAAAAUCUAAAUGAAAUUAAAGGACGAAAAGACCCUAUAGAGUUUAAAUAUAAUUAUACUAUUCACAAAUUAAACAAAACGAAUAGGAUAAGUAUUUUAAUUGGGGCAACAUAGGAACAAGAAAUUUCCUUAUAGUAAACAUUUAACAUCAUAAAAAUAAAAAUCCUCAAAGAGAUAAAGAAAAACUACCUUAGGGAUAACAGCGUAAUUUUUCUAAAGAGACCUAAUCGAAAGAAAAGUUUGCGACCUCGAUGUUGGACUAAGGCAUCAAAAUGGUGAAGAAACUAUUAAAAGUAGGCCUGUUCGGCCUAAUAGCCUUACAUGAUUUG
Molecule: ribosomal RNA, 519 nt
Filed under: Amathia vidovici
Lineage: Eukaryota; Metazoa; Bryozoa; Gymnolaemata; Ctenostomatida; Vesiculariidae
Description: partial 16S ribosomal RNA
Rfam family: Bacterial large subunit ribosomal RNA
Source: RNAcentral